Molecule: long non-coding RNA, 759 nt
Filed under: Malus domestica (apple)
Lineage: Eukaryota; Viridiplantae; Streptophyta; Magnoliopsida; Rosales; Rosaceae
Description: long non-coding RNA (MDOM_LNC019317)
Source: RNAcentral
AAAGUAUUCGGACUUGUGUUUAUUCAAAAUAAACUAUAGUCCAACCGAGAGUGAUCUUCGGUGAAUGUUAUAUAACAUGAGUAGUAUUAUGUUGUGGACAAGUGCCACCAACAUCUAAGUGAAUUAACCUCAACAACUUUGUGAUUCUUUCUUCUUUCCAAAAGAAUAAAGAUUCGAACAUUUCGCCUCUAUACAAUUUUAACAAGAAGGUAUUGGAUCCGGAUCUAAUGAUCCAAAGCAUCCAUCUAUGACCAACUCGUAAUUUAUGUUUUAGAGGUAUCACAACUCAGUUGGGAUUAGUCACUACCUUGCAACCUUUUGGGUUUUAAGCAUCAUUGUAUUCUAAACAGUUAACAAUACCAUAUCAUCGCUACUAUAGAGACAAUCAAUUAGAUUACUAUAAUCCAAUCAUUGAUUAAUAAAGAACAAUGUUUUGUCAAACAAAACAUUCAUCCAUCUCUACUAUAGUGACGGAAUUAAGUUCCUUAAAAUUGGAAUGUAAAGAAAAUCUUUGGUUUUUCCAAUUUCUUUGGUAGUUCAUAUGAGGAAGUAAGUACUAUCUGCUUUCGCAGAGAUCUAUAUUUUAUUCACGUUCCGAAUGUGAAGUACCUUUUCUUCUCUCAUAUAUCUUCUACUUCUUAUUAGUCACACUUUUACAACGAUUGUAAAACAUAGUUACUAAUAUGGAAUCAAGCAUUCAAGUAGAAGAACCAACUGUUUUGAACUAUUCAAGAACAAUUUACAACACCUUCGAAAGGU